GCCCGAAGCCGAUUAUCUAACCUUUUGGAAGAAGUCGUCGACGGUGGAAUCAAUAACUGGGGUGAAGUCGUAACAAGGUAGCCGUAUCGGAAGGUGCGGCUGGAUCACCUCCUUUCUAAGGAGA
Molecule: ribosomal RNA, 124 nt
Filed under: Clostridioides difficile
Lineage: Bacteria; Bacillati; Bacillota; Clostridia; Peptostreptococcales; Peptostreptococcaceae
Description: partial 16S ribosomal RNA
Rfam family: Bacterial small subunit ribosomal RNA
Source: RNAcentral